AUCUAAUUGCCAUCUUAUGAUACUUCGAUUGUGGGUUUCGAAGAGCAGUAGUUCGACGAAGUUGGGUCUGAUGUUGUGAGUGGAGAUUCAUGAGUUAUUGAGGUUGGGCGAUGUGAAUUUUGGGCCUUGAUUGUCGCUUGUGUCGAUUUUCUGAUUCAUGAGUUGGGUCAGGAGGGUUGGAGUUUUAGUGGAAUUACAGCUUAGGACAUGUGAGAAUCCAGGUGGUUCUGGGUUUGGUUCUGUAUUCAGCUUAGCUUUUUGUGGCUGUAGUGGAUCUGUCGUUGAGUCCAACUCAAUUUCUCUUCAUGCUGAUUUCACUCAACACUGCCUGAAGUUGUAGAACUUUUGAUUGCCCUUGUGGUUAUGAAGUGAUGAUCGCUGCAGCUCUGGUUCUUUCGCUUAAUCCUAGUACAAUAGGUUGUUGCCAAUUUUGGGUUUUAGACCUCUCUUCCUCUUUCUUGUAGUUAAUGUUUUGAUCACGUGGUUCUUUUAGCUUUCUCAUAGGUAUGAAUAUUCUUGUUUUCCAUUUCAUGUGAGGACGUUAAUCUAUCACUGUUUGAAUAUCGCUUUGUGAAUAGUCGCUUUGAAGAGGGGAGUUAGUCAGCGUUAGCAUCAGAAAUCUUAGCGCACUUCUUGUUCACAGGAGCGUUACCAAAUCAACAUGCGGGAAGAAUCACGUGCCACGAGUUGGAGGGAAUAAGAAUAGUUUCAAGACUGACGAAAUUACUGAGAAUGAUUAGACAUAACCCCAAGGGUUUCUGAAUUAUUCUGUGGCGUACCGGUGGACAGUCAAACGUAUCUUAUGUUGUUGUGCACGAAGCGGUCUAAGAUGUAUAUCAUGUCUUAUCAGUAGGUAGGAAUCGGAAAUGAAGUGGAAAAAGGAGUCACGGAUUAUAAUCUAAGACGUUCCUCACUCAAUUCGCAUGCCUAAAUUUUUCCUAUGUGUCAGUAAGUGUCGCUGCGUUGCUUGAGAGGAGUACCAUGUUCUCUUAGGAUUUAUCUUCGUGCAAAAAGGGGUGGAGGGAUGUGUGGAGGUUUAAAUUUACAAGUUUUGCACAAUGGCUGUGGUUAGUAAGCACCAGCAACGGGUUAUCGGGGUGGCAUUGGUGGGUGGAAGUGCCUUCAUGAGCAGUAGGGUUUUACAUCUAUUUGCCCUUAUAGACUAAGGUUGAUACUUCAUGAAAAGCAUUUUGCGUUUAUGAGUUGUCUUAUCAGAAUUUCGAUUUCAAUAUGAGCUGAUCAUUAACUCAAUUUUUGAUGCGGAAAAUCUCUCUCUCUCGCUCUCUCGUUCACGAUGCCAUGCGCUGAGAGAGAGAGAGAGAGAGAGAGAGAGAGAGACUUUUCGAUUACUUUUCCCGCGGAGUACUCUUUACUUUUGGACUGUAUGCCAUAAUGACUUUAGAAGAACUUUGCAGUAGUAGUGAUUGUUAUAGAGUGGUUAAUACAUACGCAAAUUAUUGAUGUACGCUUCAAUGUUGAAAAGGACUAACACAUUGCUUACAUUUAAAAGUUGAGUUUAUGCGGGCAAUUUUUUUAUCAUGCCAUUUGGUUAAUUUAUCCGGGUAGUAGUGGACUCUCUGUUUGCAAAGUGGUUACAAGAGAUUUUGCGAGUAUGUGUGCCUGCACUUAUGUCCAAGAAUUCUUUCUUAAUUAUCGUGCAGACUUGCCUUCUCAUGAGCCGAACCCUUUUGACAGGUUUUGCUUACUGCGUACUUCGGCGAGUUCUGUUCGUCAAAUCGUGUGUAUUAUGUGGCAUCUAUUCUGAGCGGCCUUUCAAAUGUAGACCAAGUAUAUGUUGCACUUUGUGGAUAGAUGGUACUUUUUGCAUGGGAUUACAGGUUGAAUUGUUUUAAUCUUUAGGAUUUCUUAUAAUUUUUUUCGAAAAUCCAUUUAUCGUGAUUCCAAAUUUAAUUUUCUGUAUCUGUUUGUUCUUUUGGUUAUUGGUUUUCAUGUCCAAAAUCUAGACCAUGCAUUCUCAGUAUUUUGGUGUCUUACAUUCUGCUGCAGCGUAUUACUGAAGACGUUCAAAAGUUCUCCUUUUGCAAUAAGCGAGCUUUUCUUUUACAUUGUCAAGCCUGUAUUAGAUAUUAUUCUCUAUCAACUAUCUCUUGCUAAAACCAUAGAGUAAGCUUCAUAUUUUAUUUCAACUGUUUUCUUUGAAGUACAGUUGCCACGUCAGAUAUUUUUUCUUCAGAGCUACAACUUCUUCCGCCACAUCUCUGGAUCACCAGCAGUGUACUAGUUUCUUCCUCGUGGUGUUCUUUCAAGAAAAAUUGAAAUAUGUUGCUCUUCUCCUCACAUAUCGCUUCAGAGUGAUAUUUAACAGCAGUGGUAGCAUCUAAUUAUUGUCAUGAACGAGGGUACCAAGAACAGUUCGCUUUGUAUGCUUACUUUCUUCUCAUAUCAGCAUUCUUACACGUUAUUAGCCCUCGACUGGCACAUUGGCAAGUCUUCAAUAUUCAGUGUCCUUGCGGAACUUUGGCCUCUACACUGUGGUGUCAUCGGUCGAUCACCUCCGGGAGAAAUUUGUUACCAAUCUCGGGUCAUUUUAUUUUUCUUGUUUACUUUGUUUGCCUUUAUUUGGAAAGGAAACUAUUCAAUAAAAUGAAAAUUUUAAAAACAACAGCAGAAGAUGAUGAAGAGGCUACGAGGGUCUAUAUAGCAUCUGCUCUGUCUUUAACAAGUAUAGCUCUACUAGUUUUCAAUUACAGAAGAGCUCCUCAUCUCUAACGGGGAUGUUAUGUGCUUCAAGAUUUGAGCUGAUGGAUUGUGAUCUUUGAAGAAACCUUACCUUAUGCGAGGAACACUGAGAGACUAAGUGCUGUAUCCAACGCCACUUAAACCUGUUUCAAGAGAUAAGAAUGAAAGUAAAUGGUAUAGCUCUGCAUCGCUGCAAUCUAUCAAGUAUACGACGCAUCCUGAUGACAAUCGAGUGUUGUAUGCAUUGGGUGCAACAGAGAUUGGAUAUCUGGUUUAUUUGAGGGUUGGCCUUGCCCACUUGCAGGGGCCUAAGUCCUCUUUCUAUUGAUAAUUGUUUUGCUGGAGCUUGCUUUUUCUUUUUUCUUUUUUCUGGCAGGAGAAUAGUAAAUCGGAGGGUUGAAUCAGGUAUCAUACAGGACUUUAUCGUUGAAAAGAGAAGAUUAUUUAUCUUUAUUUUCUCCUUGUUUCGGUAAAUCUGAGAAUGAGGUUUGAAAGUUGCAACUCAGAAUUGGGAAGAAACUUUGUCUGAUGGCGAAAAGCAGCGUCUAGCAAUUGCUCGAGUAUCCUACCGAGGAGUCCACCAAAUUUGAUGUAAACUCUCAAGGAUUCGGUACUGUUUGGUAAUGUAUGCUUUGAUUUUGAAUUAUGAUUGUUCAUUCCUGCUGCAUCUGCUUUCUCAGUGUUGAAAUUCAUAGUUGAUUCUGUGAUAGCUAUGCUGUGCUUGAUGAAUACAGAUCAGCAGUUAGUACGGACAGAGAAGAAAACCUAUACAAAAGACUGCGUGAGAGUGUUAUCAAGUUGAUAUCAACAACCCAUCGCCCUGUAGUUAAGAAGUAGGCCUUCCUCUAAUCAUUCCCACAACUAGCAUGUUUGCUCUAUUAAGCUUCCGUGAUUUGCAGACGUGGAUAUUAUUACGUUCCUAUCCACACAUAACUAAUUGAUCAUGUGUAAUUCUGAACAGAUCAGGGGGUCGAAAGUCACGUCUUGAUUGUUAUUGUCAGUAUUUUCCGCUAGGACUACUAACAGUGCAUGCAAACAACGUCGGUUGGUUACCAACUAUUGUUUCUUGUCUCAUAGGACUUCCGAUGACAGGAUCAUUUUAUGGAUUUCCUAUUUUUUCUGAUUUUUAUAUCUUUAAUGGCUACAGGAAACAUAAUAAAUUGCAGAUCUCGUAAGCCCAGCAGAAUCCUUGUUAGAUUUGGUAGCCCUUAGAAGGUGGUUCUCCCUAAACAUUUAUGAUAGGUUCUCAUUAUUUUAUAAUACCCCUACAGCAGAUCCACACAAACUUUCAAACGCUUUAAGUUGAUUGUACAAUCUUUCUGUUAGCAAUGCUUGGUUUCAUUGCAGUGUCAAAGGACUGAUUCCCCAUUCUGUAGACGAGAUCGGGGGAGGGAGGGGGUGUGAAGGUGCGAGCAAGUGGGCAGGAGGUUCGUCGUUCAGACACAGUGUACUCCGGGGUAGGCACCCCGUUGUUCAUGGGAGCGGACUUGAUCUUCGGGCGCCGCAAAAUGGCAGCGCAGAUUCGAGAGUGUAGGGCACCGGCGGUCUAGUGGUAGAAUAGUACCCUGUCACUGUACAGACCCAGGUUCGAUUGCCGGCCGGUGCAGCGAGCCGCUUCGGCUGGAAUAGCUCAGUUGGUUAGAGCGUGUGGCUGUUAACCACAAGGUCGGAGGUUCGACCCCUCCUUCUAGCGCAACAAUAGAACUGCUCCGCUUUU
Physcomitrium patens is the source of this 4417-nucleotide non-coding RNA. NCBI's taxonomy places the organism in Eukaryota, Viridiplantae, Streptophyta, Bryopsida, Funariales, Funariaceae. The record is from RefSeq and is a predicted model, not a curated record.